UGCGCAUGGAGGAACUCUGACGCAGCCAUGCCGCGUGCAGGAAUAAGGCCCUAUGGGUUGUAAACUGCUUUUAUACGGGAAGAACUACAUCUACGUGUAGAUGUUUGACGGUACCGUACGAAUAAGGAUCGGCUAACUCCGUGCCAGCAGCCGCGGUAAUACGGAGGAUUCAAGCGUUAUCCGGAUUUAUUGGGUUUAAAGGGUCCGCAGGCGGAAAAUUAAGUCAGUGGUGAAAUCCUACAGCUUAACUGUAGAACUGCCAUUGAUACUGGUUUUCUUGAGUACACCUGAAGUGGGCGGAAUGUGUCAUGUAGCGGUGAAAUGCUUAGAUAUGACACAGAACACCAAUUGCGAAGGCAGCUCACUAAAGUGUAACUGACGCUGAGGGACGAAAGCGUGGGUAGCGAACAGGAUUAGAUACCCUGGUAGUCCACGCCGUAAACGAUGAUCACUAGAUGUUGGCGAUAUAUUGUCAGUAUCUGAGCGAAAGCAUUAAGUGAUCCACCUGGGGAGUACGGUCGCAAGAUUGAAACUCAAAGGAAUUGACGGGGGCCCGCACAAGCGGUGGAGCAUGUGGUUUAAUUCGAUGGUACGCGAGGAACCUUACCUAGGCUUAAAUGUAGAUUGACGUAUUGGGAAACCAAUAUUUCUUCGGACAAUUUACAAGGUGCUGCAUGGUUGUCGUCAGCUCGUGCUGUGAAGUGCCGGGUUAAGUCCCAUAACGAGCGCAACCCCUAUCAUUAGUUGCUAACAUUUAGUUGAGGACUCUAAUGAAACUGCCCGCGUAAGCGUGGAGGAAGGUGGGGAUGACGUCAAAUCAUCACGGCCCUUACGUCUAGGGCUACACACGUGCUACAAUGGUGAAUACAGAGGGAAGCCAGUUGGUAACAACGAGCAAAUCCACAAAAUUCAUCUCAGUUCGGAUUGAGGUCUGCAACUCGACCUCAUGAAGCUGGAAUCGCUAGUAAUCGUAUAUCAGCCAUGAUACGGUGAAUACGUUCCCGGGCCUUGUACACACCGCCCGUCAAGCCAUGGAAGUUGGGAAUACCUGAAGUCGGUAACCGCAAGGAGCUGCCUAAGGUAAAAUCAGUAACUGGGGCUAAGUCGUAACAAGGUAGCCGUACCGGAAGGUGUGGCUGGAAUAUCUCUUUUAU
RNAcentral lists this ribosomal RNA (1154 nucleotides) under uncultured Cryomorphaceae bacterium. RNAcentral's name for it is "bacterial SSU rRNA". It matches the Rfam family "Bacterial small subunit ribosomal RNA", at positions 365 to 1533 of the family's 1533-position model. Lineage: Bacteria; Pseudomonadati; Bacteroidota; Flavobacteriia; Flavobacteriales; Cryomorphaceae. The record is from RNAcentral.